GACGAACGCUGGCGGCGUGCUUAACACAUGCAAGUCGAGCGAUGAAGCACCUUCGGGUGUGAAUUAGCGGCGAACGGGUGAGGAACACGUGAGAAAUCUGCCUUCAACUCUGGGAUAACUCCGUGAAAACGGGGCUAAUACCGGAUCUGAAACCUGCGGGCAUACGCGGGUUUGGAAAGUGUUUCGGGUGAAGAUGAUGUAGUGGCCUAUCAGAUAGUUGGUGAGGUAAUGGCGCACCAAGGCGACGACGGGUAGCUGGUUUGAGAGAACGAUCAGCCACACUGGGACUGAGACACGGCCCAGACUCCUACGGGAGGCAGCAGUGGGGAAUCUUGCGCAAUGGGCGAAAGCCUGACGCAGCAACGCCGCGUGCGGGAUGACGGCCUUCGGGUUGUAAACCGCUUUCAGCAGGGACGAAGAUGACGGUACCUGCAGAAGAAGCCCCGGCUAACUACGUGCCAGCAGCCGCCGUAA
Molecule: ribosomal RNA, 474 nt
Filed under: uncultured bacterium
Lineage: Bacteria
Description: partial 16S ribosomal RNA
Rfam family: Bacterial small subunit ribosomal RNA
Source: RNAcentral